UCCCUGGUGGUUCAGAUGGUAAAGAACCUGCCUGCAAUGCAGGAGACCUGGGUUCUAUCCUCAGAGAGGGAA
Molecule: transfer RNA, 72 nt
Filed under: Capra hircus (goat)
Lineage: Eukaryota; Metazoa; Chordata; Mammalia; Artiodactyla; Bovidae
Also listed under: 1 other name
Rfam family: tRNA
About the family: Transfer RNA (tRNA) molecules are approximately 80 nucleotides in length.
Source: Rfam by way of RNAcentral